GAUGACCUUAGCGCUCAGCCCAGAAGGACCUACAGAUCCCGGCCGGAAACGGGAGGUCCCUAGCCGUUGAAAACGAUCCAUUUUCUCUACCCAUUUGUCCUACAGCUGUCAGGGUAACGCUGUCUCCUUGGCGGCCCAGAGAAGAAUGCGUUAAAAAUUCUUAGCCAAGGAGUCUCCCCCGACCCCAAAUAUAUCAUUGCAUGGCUUUCCUGACGCCAACCACUGGUCCCUAACCUCAGCCACCUUCUCUCGUUGAAAUAUGCACAUCGCUCUUCAAUAAUUCAGACACCUGGGAAACCGGACAACUAUAAUUUUUCCAAACAUCCCAGCAUCCGGGUUGUCAUUCAUCAUGCGUCUGUUUUAUUUGAGAUGGGGGCUUUGUGUGCCUUAGCUGCCCUAUUCUGUCCCAUUUGCAUGAGGCUAUUUAAUGGACAUUUAUUUCAGCUUUGAAGGUCUGCUUUUAAAAUCUAAAUCCAGAAAGGAAGGCGGGAGGGAGCGCCGCCUCCCUUGUGACUCAGGGUAGAUUUGCCUUUGGGACCCAUUGCUUUGAGGAGAAGGGCCCUGAGGGUCCUGAUUACGCAUGAAUUUUGAUUCUGAGAUGGGGCGCGUUAUGAAGCUGGUUCGGCUUCCACAAGCUCAGGGUUUCCUUUGUAACUAACCGUGCUCCAGUCGGUACUCGUGUAGGACACGAGUAAUUGUGUCCCAAAUGCUUACAUAAAUCACUGAUGGGUGAAAUCACUCGCGCUCACUUAAAGUGUAAUGUGAUUAAAAGAUUAUGAGGUUGAAGC
This 788-nucleotide long non-coding RNA is filed under the name Mus musculus (house mouse). RNAcentral's name for it is "long non-coding RNA chr13:40702900-40703688". The record is from RNAcentral. Lineage: Eukaryota; Metazoa; Chordata; Mammalia; Rodentia; Muridae.